RNAcentral lists this ribosomal RNA (384 nucleotides) under uncultured bacterium. Its description in RNAcentral is "bacterial SSU rRNA". It matches the Rfam family "Bacterial small subunit ribosomal RNA", at positions 30 to 416 of the family's 1533-position model. The record is from RNAcentral.
AUUGAACGCUGGCGGAAUGCUUUACACAUGCAAGUCGAACGGCAGCACGGGGCAACCUAGUGGCGAGUGGCGAACGGGUGAGUAAUACAUCGGAACGUGCCCAAUCGUGGGGGAUAACGUAGCGAAAGUUACGCUAAUACCGCAUACGAUCUACGGAUGAAAGCGGGGGAUCGCAAGACCUCGCGCGAGUGGAGCGGCCGAUGUCAGAUUAGGUAGUUGGUGGGGUAAAGGCUCACCAAGCCAACGAUCUGUAGCUGGUCUGAGAGGACGACCAGCCACACUGGAACUGAGACACGGUCCAGACUCCUACGGGAGGCAGCAGUGGGGAAUUUUGGACAAUGGGCGCAAGCCUGAUCCAGCCAUUCCGCGUGCAGGAUGAAGGCC